AUCACCAAGGUUAGUGAUCAUCUUUCCUCAAAGAAAAGGGUAGUAAUCAUCAAAUGUCAUUAAGAUAUGGAUUCCAAAAGCAUGCAUGUUUCCUCCCCGAGAAAAGGGACACGUUCAUUUCGAAUUAAAAAUAGUUUAAGUUAUUCUUUUCAUAUUUUGACUUAUUUUAGCUUUUUGAGCUAAGGUGAUCGAUAGGCAAUUCGACAUAUAUGUAGAGAGAGAUGUGAUGAGUUGAUGGCAUUCUGUAUGAAAAUGAUACAUGGGAAACCAUAUAAAAACAAAAGGUACUCUACUUUUAGCAACUCAUAUUUUACGACAUUGGUUAGCUUAACAAAAAAUUCAUCCUUCUAGCAUUUAGUUAUUACCUAACAAAUGAGCUAUGGUUGCUGAAAAUUUAAGUGCAGCAAAUGCAUAGGCCACAUAUGUCGUUGUAUGCCUCCUUUGAGACAACUAGAAUUAGUGUUAGUCCUACAAGAGAUGCUUAAAACAGCUGUGAACUAAAUUUGUGCCCAACUUACAAAUUCCGAAACUACCAAAGUCACGGCAUCAUGAACACAAACUACUAUUAGGAAAUUACAGAAGUGAGUGAAAAUAAAGAAAAUAAACAAGUGAGGCGGGGAAUCCAACAUGUGCUUACCUGUAUUGAGUGGUUGUUCCUUUGUUCAAUCCGGGACCAUGGGGCCUGCCUCCGUUCCCAAAAUCGAGCUACACGAAGAAAGGGAAAGCUCUGCGCCGAUCCCGUCCAUAUCCAGGUGUGGACCGUGUGGGAAGCAGAGUGCACGCGGUGCCGGCAAUGGCACAUUACCUAUGCCAGAAGCCAGAUCAUUGCGAGUUUGCGAUGUAGUAAAGGAGAUACAUUAUUGUUCUUCAAUAAACAUCCGCCGCCACAGUCCUUCUAGAUCCAAUGGAGUUCUGCAUUCCCUUUUUUUUAAAUAAAUCUUUUGAGCUACUAUUAU
RNAcentral lists this long non-coding RNA (956 nucleotides) under Setaria italica (foxtail millet). RNAcentral describes it as "long non-coding RNA (SITA_LNC000252)". Lineage: Eukaryota; Viridiplantae; Streptophyta; Magnoliopsida; Poales; Poaceae. The record is from RNAcentral.